CCUACGGGAGGCAGCAGUGAGGAAUAUUGGUCAAUGGGCGGAAGCCUGAACCAGCCAAGUCGCGUGAGGGAUUAAGGCCCUGCGGGUCGUAAACCUCUUUUGCCGGGGAGCAGAGGUCCGGACGUGUCCGGGCCGGGAGAGUACCCGGAGAAAAAGCAUCGGCUAACUCCGGUCCAGCGGCCGCGGUAAUACGGAGGAUGCGAGCGUUAUCCGGAUUUAUUGGGUUUAAAGGGUGCGUAGGCGGGCAUUUAAGCCGGCGGCCAAAUGUCGGGGCUCAACCCCGGCCUGCCGUCGGAACUGGGUGCCUUGAGUGGGCGAGAGGUAUGCGGAAUGCGUGGUGUAGCGGUGAAAUGCAUAGAUAUCACGCAGAACCCCGAUUGCGAAGGCAGCAUACCGGCGCCCUACUGACGCUGAGGCACGAAAGUGCGGGUAUCGAACAGGAUUAGAUACCCGGGUAGUC
RNAcentral lists this ribosomal RNA (460 nucleotides) under uncultured bacterium. Its description in RNAcentral is "partial 16S ribosomal RNA". It matches the Rfam family "Bacterial small subunit ribosomal RNA", at positions 338 to 795 of the family's 1533-position model. The record is from RNAcentral.